GAACUUCCUCUCCUGGCGGGCGCCGCCGCGGCGGCUGAGGGCUCGUGCUCGCGCAGCGAACUCUGGGGUCGGGGUCUGGCUUCCUGAAGUCCAAGGGAGGUGCUCAUGGACUCCAAGGAGUGAGAAGUCUUCAUUUCAUUUCUGUCCUCACCAGCUCCCCGGUUUGAGGGGGAGAUUCGGAGGAUCCAGACUCAGCCAGUAUUCUCUGACGAGGCCGAAAUUCUCUUGGCCCAAAGCCCCUUCUCCCACCAGACCCAGAAGUCUGGGCCUUGCCCUCUUGCCUGGAGCCCUCCCCAGUAAUAAAGCAAGCACAAGCCUUUCAUUUAUCUUUAUAUUGAGGUAAAAAAAAAAAAAUGAACGUUAUGGAUAUGGGGGUGGGAGAUGGGACAAGGCUUCCCUCUGUGAUUGACAGCAGGAGCUGAGGAAACCAGAAGCUCCGGGGAAUUAAAAAAUAUA
Manis pentadactyla (Chinese pangolin) is the source of this 456-nucleotide long non-coding RNA. RefSeq lists it as uncharacterized. The transcript is spliced from 2 exons. NCBI's taxonomy places the organism in Eukaryota, Metazoa, Chordata, Mammalia, Pholidota, Manidae. The record is from RefSeq and is a predicted model, not a curated record.